UGGUUCUGGCAUCGAUGAAGAACGCAGCGAAAUGCGAUAAGUAAUGUGAAUUGCAGAAUUCAGUGAAUCAUCGAAUCUUUGAACGCACAUUGCGCCCCGUGGUAUUCCGCGGGGCAUGCCUGUCCGAGCGUCAUGAUGACCAAAUCACGCGCCCGCGUGGUAUUGGGGCUGGCAGCCGUGCCGCCCUCAAACGCAGUGGCAGCGCCGUGUGGCCCUGAGCGUAGUAAUACUCCUCGCUAUAGGGUCCCGCGGCAGCCCGCCAGCAACACCAAUCCUUCUGGGUUGACCUCGGAUCAGGUAGGGAUACCCGCUGA
RNAcentral lists this unclassified non-coding RNA (314 nucleotides) under uncultured fungus. Its description in RNAcentral is "partial contains 5.8S ribosomal RNA and internal transcribed spacer 2". The stretch from base 1 to 133 matches the Rfam family "5.8S ribosomal RNA", at positions 22 to 154 of the family's 154-position model. Lineage: Eukaryota; Fungi. The record is from RNAcentral.